This 412-nucleotide ribosomal RNA is filed under the name uncultured bacterium. Its description in RNAcentral is "partial 16S ribosomal RNA". It matches the Rfam family "Bacterial small subunit ribosomal RNA", at positions 355 to 760 of the family's 1533-position model. The record is from RNAcentral.
UGGGGAAUAUUGGACAAUGGGCGAAAGCCUGAUCCAGCCAUGCCGCGUGUGUGAAGAAGGUCUUCGGAUUGUAAAGCACUUUAAGUUGGGAGGAAGGGCAGUAAAUUAAUACUUUGCUGUUUUGACGUUACCGACAGAAUAAGCACCGGCUAACUCUGUGCCAGCAGCCGCGGUAAUACAGAGGGUGCAAGCGUUAAUCGGAAUUACUGGGCGUAAAGCGCGCGUAGGUGGUUCGUUAAGUUGGAUGUGAAAUCCCCGGGCUCAACCUGGGAACUGCAUUCAAACUGACGAGCUAGAGUAUGGUAGAGGGUGGUGGAAUUUCCUGUGUAGCGGUGAAAUGCGUAGAUAUAGGAAGGAACACCAGUGGCGAAGGCGACCACCUGGACUGAUACUGACACUGAGGUGCGAAAGC